GUGUCAGCAGCCGCGGUAAUACGAAGGGGGCUAGCGUUGUUCGGAUUUACUGGGCGUAAAGCGCACGUAGGCGGAUCGAUCAGUCAGGGGUGAAAUCCCAGAGCUCAACUCUGGAACUGCCUUUGAUACUGUCGAUCUGGAGUAUGGAAGAGGUGAGUGGAAUUCCGAGUGUAGAGGUGAAAUUCGUAGAUAUUCGGAGGAACACCAGUGGCGAAGGCGGCUCACUGGUCCAUUACUGACGCUGAGGUGCGAAAGCGUGGGGAGCAAACAGGAUUAGAAACCCCGGUAGUCC
This 292-nucleotide ribosomal RNA is filed under the name uncultured bacterium. RNAcentral describes it as "partial 16S ribosomal RNA". It matches the Rfam family "Bacterial small subunit ribosomal RNA", at positions 505 to 796 of the family's 1533-position model. The record is from RNAcentral.